AUUAAUGAAAAGGGGAUAGAUUUACUCCACACGCGCUACGCGCAUGAAGGCCAGUUUAUGUUAAACCUACAUGACCAUCUUCUUCAUAUAUAAUUAUCGACUUGUCAUUCACCAAAGCUAGCGAAUCAGGGAGUGACUCCUGUUGUUGCGGGCACUCCUCUUUCGUGUAAUACUCUGUCAUUGUUUUUGGGAACUGAUAAACUCACCCCGUUACUCUUAUCUUCCCACACAUUAUUAUUCCAUCCGCCAUACAAAAUUAAAAAAAAUUAAAAAAAAUUAACAUCUUAUUUUCCAACCCCUAUAAUCUACAUAGUCAUUGGUUUUGUUGGAGAGUUGUAGAGAGCAAGAGAUCUGCUUCAUCAAUUCAACUAAUUUAGUUCGAAGCAAAAGAAUUAAAUCGAAAAAGUGGAAGUAAGAAUAUCAGAAACAGUUAAAAAAAAAAUUCGAAUCUGCAAGUAAAGGGGAAGCAGUUUAAGAGGGAGAGCGUACCGGCGAGCUUCUCAGCAUCGAACCAAGAUUCUGAUUCCCCUGUCCUCUCUCUCUCUCUCUCUCUCUCUCUCUCUCUCUUAAAUUGCUCUCCUAAAGCCGAGAUUUGAUUCAAAUGACCUGGAAGCUAUCAAAUUAAAGAUGCAAAAUUGCAACAAAACGUCCAAAAUUUUAAAAUUUGUUGGAAAAAUCCACAAACUGAUGAACAUAUUUGGAAUUGGAGCCCUAGAAAUCACAGAAACGAACCAUGAGAAAUGCUAUCUGUCGGUGGAUUCUUGAACUUCUUCCGCCACCGGAAUAAUGGAUCUUUCUCCCACCGAUCAAAACUUGACUCCAUUAAUUAAUC
RNAcentral lists this long non-coding RNA (832 nucleotides) under Malus domestica (apple). Its description in RNAcentral is "long non-coding RNA (MDOM_LNC001477)". The record is from RNAcentral. Lineage: Eukaryota; Viridiplantae; Streptophyta; Magnoliopsida; Rosales; Rosaceae.